UACGUAGGGUGCGAGCGUUGUUCGGAAUUACUGGGCGUAAAGGGCGCGUAGGCGGGUUUGCAAGUCGAUUGUGAAAUCCCAGGGCUUAACCCUGGAAUUGCAGUCGAAACUGCAAGUCUUGAAUGUCUGAGAGGGUGGGAGAAUUCCUGGUGUAGUAGUGAAAUACGUAGAUAUCAGGAGGAAUACCGGCGGCGAAGGCGCCUACCUGGCAGUACAUUGACGCUGAGGCGCGAAAGCGUGGGGAGCAAAC
Molecule: ribosomal RNA, 250 nt
Filed under: uncultured bacterium
Lineage: Bacteria
Description: partial 16S ribosomal RNA
Rfam family: Bacterial small subunit ribosomal RNA
Source: RNAcentral